This 71-nucleotide transfer RNA is filed under the name Verrucomicrobiota bacterium. RNAcentral describes it as "Verrucomicrobia bacterium (freshwater metagenome) tRNA-Gln". It matches the Rfam family "tRNA". Rfam says of the family: Transfer RNA (tRNA) molecules are approximately 80 nucleotides in length. Their secondary structure includes four short double-helical elements and three loops (D, anti-codon, and T loops). Further hydrogen bonds mediate the characteristic L-shaped molecular structure. tRNAs have two regions of fundamental functional importance: the anti-codon, which is responsible for specific mRNA codon recognition, and the 3' end, to which the tRNAs corresponding amino acid is attached (by aminoacyl-tRNA synthetases). tRNAs cope with the degeneracy of the genetic code in two manners: having more than one tRNA (with a specific anti-codon) for a particular amino acid; and 'wobble' base-pairing, i.e. permitting non-standard base-pairing at the 3rd anti-codon position. Lineage: Bacteria; Pseudomonadati; Verrucomicrobiota. The record is from RNAcentral.
UACCCCGUGGUGUAACGGUAGCACAAGGGUCUUUGAAGCCCUUUGUCAUGGUUCGAAUCCAUGCGGGGUAG